GACGAACGCUUGCGGCGUGCCUAAUACAUGCAAGUCGAGCGAGCGGCGGACGGGUGAGUAAUGUAUGGGGACUGCCCGAUAGAGUGGGAUAACUACUGGAAACGUUGGCUAAUACCGCAUCCUAUCGGAUAACCCAUAUGGGAUUAGCUAGUAGGUGGGGUAAAGGCUCACCUAGGCGACGAUCUCUAGCUGGUCUGAGAGGAUGAUCAGCCACACUGGGACUGAGACACGGCCCAGACUCCUACGGAGGCAGCAGUGGGGAAUAGUGCACAAUGGGCGCAAGCCUGAUGCAGCCAUGCCGCGUGUAUGAAGAAGGCCUUAGGGUUGUAAAGUACUUUAAGCGGGGAGGCGUUACACGCAGAAGAAGCACCGGCUAACUCCGUGCCAGCAGCCGCGGUAAUUC
This 403-nucleotide ribosomal RNA is filed under the name uncultured bacterium. Its description in RNAcentral is "partial 16S ribosomal RNA". It matches the Rfam family "Bacterial small subunit ribosomal RNA", at positions 28 to 526 of the family's 1533-position model. The record is from RNAcentral.